ACGGCUCAGUAACACGUAGUCAACAUACCCAGGGGACGUGGAUAACCUCGGGAAACUGAGGAUAAACCGCGAUAGGCCAAGAUUUCUGGAAUGGAUCAUGGCUGAAACCUACAUGGCCCCUGGAUUGGACUGCGGCCGAUCAGGCUGUUGGUGAGGUAAUGGCCCACCAAACCUGUAACCGGUACGGGCUCUGAGAGGAGGAGCCCGGAGAUGGGCACUGAGACAAGGGCCCAGGCCCUAUGGGGCGCAGCAGGCGCGAAACCUCUGCAAUAGGCGAAAGCUUGACAGGGUUACUCUGAGUGAUGCCCGUUAAGGGCAUCUUUUGGCACUUCUAAAAAUAGUGUAGAAUAAGGGGUGGGCAAGUCUGGUGUCAGCCGCCGCGGUAAUACCAGCACCCCGAGUGGUCGGGACGAUUAUUGGGCCUAAAGCAUCCGUAGCCGGUUCUGCAAGUCUUCCGUUAAAUCCACCUGCUCAACAGAUGGGCUGCGGGGGAUACUACAGGGCUAGGAGGCGGGAGAGGCAAGCGGUACUCGGUGGGUAGGGGUAAAAUCCUCUGAUCCACCGAAGACCACCAGUGGCGAAGGCGGCUUGCCAGAACGCGCUCGACGGUGAGGGAUGAAAGCUGGGGGAGUAAACCGGAUUAGAUACCCGGGUAGUCCCAGCUGUAAACGAUGCAGACUCGGUGAUGGGUUGGCUUUGAGCCAACCCAGUGCCGCAGGGAAGCCGUUAAGUCUGCCGCCUGGGGAGUACGGUCGCAAGACUGAAACUUAAAGGAAUUGGCGGGGGAGCAC
Molecule: ribosomal RNA, 791 nt
Filed under: uncultured crenarchaeote
Lineage: Archaea; Thermoproteati; Thermoproteota
Description: bacterial SSU rRNA
Rfam family: Archaeal small subunit ribosomal RNA
Source: RNAcentral